RNAcentral lists this ribosomal RNA (468 nucleotides) under uncultured bacterium. RNAcentral describes it as "bacterial SSU rRNA". It matches the Rfam family "Bacterial small subunit ribosomal RNA", at positions 28 to 526 of the family's 1533-position model. The record is from RNAcentral.
GAUGAACGCUGGCGGCGUGCCUAAUACAUGCAAGUCGAGCGGCAGCGCGAAUAGUUUACUAUUUGGCGGCGAGCGGCGGACGGCUGAGUAACACGUAGGAACAUACCCCAAAGUGAGGGAUAACUGCUCGAAAGAGUAGCUAAUACCGCAUGUGGUCUAAGGAUUAAAGCUUCGGCGCUUUGGGAAUGGCCUGCGUUCGAUUAGCUAGUUGGUGAGGUAAAAGCUCACCAAGGCGACGAUCGAUAGCUGGUCUGAGAGGAUGAUCAGCCAGACUGGGACUGAGACACGGCCCAGACUCCUACGGGAGGCAGCAGUAGGGAAUUUUCCACAAUGGGCGAAAGCCUGAUGGAGCAACGCCGCGUGCAGGAUGAAUGCCUUCGGGUUGUAAACUGCUUUUGUUAGUGACGAUUAUGACUGUAACUAGCGAAUAAGGAUCGGCUAACUCCGUGCCAGCAGCCGCCGUAAUAC